UACGUAGGUGGCAAGCGUUGUCCGGAAUUAUUGGGCGUAAAGCGCGCGCAGGCGGUUUCUUAAGUCUGAUGUGAAAGCCCCCGGCUUAACCGGGGAGGGUCAUUGGAAACUGGGAGACUUAGAGUGCAGAAGAGGAGAGUGGAAUUCCAUGUGUAGCGGUGAAAUGCGUAGAUAUAUGGAGGAACACCAGUGGCGAAGGCGACUCUCUGGUCUGUAACUGACGCUGAGGCGCGAAAGCGUGGGGAGCAAACAGG
This 254-nucleotide ribosomal RNA is filed under the name uncultured bacterium. Its description in RNAcentral is "partial 16S ribosomal RNA". It matches the Rfam family "Bacterial small subunit ribosomal RNA", at positions 524 to 776 of the family's 1533-position model. The record is from RNAcentral.